Molecule: ribosomal RNA, 580 nt
Filed under: Phylloscopus grammiceps (Sunda warbler)
Lineage: Eukaryota; Metazoa; Chordata; Aves; Passeriformes; Phylloscopidae
Description: Seicercus grammiceps (Sunda warbler) partial 12S ribosomal RNA
Rfam family: Bacterial small subunit ribosomal RNA
Source: RNAcentral
GACAAAGACUUAGUCCUAACCUUACUGUUGGUUGUUGCUAGGUAUAUACAUGCGAGUAUCCGCGCGCCAGUGUAGACGCCCUGGGUCCCCUAAUCCCUAGGUCGACAGGAGCAGGCAUCAGGCACACCCAUAAUCGUAGCCCAAAACGUCUUGCAAUUGCCACGCCCCCACGGGUUCUCAGCAGUAGUUAACAUUAAGCAAUGAGUGUAAACUUGACUUAGCCAUAGCAAUCCCAAGGGUCGGUCAAUCCUGUGCCAGCCACCGCGGUCAUACAGGAGACCCAAAUCAACUUUAUAACGGCGUAAAGAGUGGUCACAUGCUAUCCAAAGUAACUAAGAUUAAAAGGUAACUGAGCUGUCGCAAGCCAAAGAUGCCCAUAAGGCCACCUCCAAAGAAGAUCUUAGACAAACGAUCAAUUGAAUUCCACGAAAGCCAGGGCCCAAACUGGGAUUAGAUACCCCACUAUGCCUGGCCCUAAAUCUUGAUGCUCGAUCUUACCGGAGCAUCCGCCCGAGAACUACGAGCACCAACGCUUAAAACUCUAAGGACUUGGCGGUGCCCCAAACCCACCUAGAGGAGC